CCAUGUAUGUGACAUCAUCAGAACUGACGAUGAUUGGGACCAGAUGCCUGGGUGGAAAAACCUUUCUGGGUGUCUUCUUUGCCUUCAAAGCUUGUCCAU
Molecule: long non-coding RNA, 99 nt
Organism: Poecilia latipinna (sailfin molly)
Lineage: Eukaryota; Metazoa; Chordata; Actinopteri; Cyprinodontiformes; Poeciliidae
Exons: 3
Source: RefSeq, a predicted model, not a curated record